UGACUUAGAAGUUCUAACAUAAGCCAU
This 27-nucleotide non-coding RNA is filed under the name Mus musculus (house mouse). Lineage: Eukaryota; Metazoa; Chordata; Mammalia; Rodentia; Muridae. The record is from RNAcentral.